GAAAAACUUGGCCAAAGAAUCCGAAGAUUUGGAAUUUGAGGUUGGCAUCGCCGGAUGAAUGUCUUGGACAUCUGAUCAACAACUGGGACUGUACAAGCUGAUUCCAGCUCUCCAUAAAGAAGCCAGUCUCCUGCCACUCCACGCCCAGCUCCUCCAUGAUGGAAAACUGACAAGAUUUGUGAAGAAGUCGGCGUCUGCUGACCAGGCUGAAAUCUUUGCUGCUUGGCGGCUGUACAAAGAAGGACAGCUCAGCCCUACUGCGCUACUGACAAUGUGUUCCAGAGUGUAUGCCCCAAGUGUGUUUGAAUGAAUCAAUGAACAGUGUGUGAAUUAUGAACAAAUGAAGUUGUGUGAAUUAUGAAGUUGUGUGAAUUAUGAAUGAAUGAACUUGUGUAAAUUAUGAACGAAUGAACUUGUGUAAAUUGCCAUAUUAUUUUUGUUAAUUAUGUGAACUUGUGUUGAUUAAAUAUAUGUAUUACCAUUACAUGAAAACCUGGCUACAUGCUUUAUUAAUGUUAUGCUGAUAUUAUGCUUUAUGUCAAUAACUUUAUAUCAAUAAAUAAUGUAAAACCUUU
Haliotis rubra (blacklip abalone) is the source of this 575-nucleotide long non-coding RNA. RefSeq lists it as uncharacterized. NCBI's taxonomy places the organism in Eukaryota, Metazoa, Mollusca, Gastropoda, Lepetellida, Haliotidae. The record is from RefSeq and is a predicted model, not a curated record. The transcript is spliced from 2 exons.